Daktulosphaira vitifoliae (grape phylloxera) is the source of this 572-nucleotide long non-coding RNA. RefSeq lists it as uncharacterized. The transcript is spliced from 3 exons. The record is from RefSeq and is a predicted model, not a curated record. NCBI's taxonomy places the organism in Eukaryota, Metazoa, Arthropoda, Insecta, Hemiptera, Phylloxeridae.
AGUAGAUCAAAAGUUAUGAUAUUAGAAAAAUAUCGUGAAUCUUGUUGGUUUUAGAUAAAGGAGUUUCAGUACAUAUGUCUCUUGUAUGGCUACAUUUGAUAAGUGUCAAAGUCAAAUAAUUCAAAAACUUCAAAACCUUUGCGAAGCCGGAUUUUUUUAUAUAGGCAACGGUCGAAAUGAUCGAAUGUUGUUUUGCUGAAGUCAAGUACUAAGACAUUGGGAUGACGAUGACGAGGCAUGAACAGAAUAUGCAUAAUAGUCUCCCAAAUGCACUUGGGUUUUGUUCAAUAAAGGUAAAAUAUUUAUAGACAAAGUGUGUGGAAAAUAGGAUGUAAAUAAUUAAUCUUAAAAAAAAAAUCUUAUUUAUAUGUCUUAAUAAUUAAUUAUUUUGUGAUGUACAAUAAAUGUAUUAGUUUUACAAAAAAUGUUUUUUUUUAUAUUUAAUGUUAAGAGUUGUAUGUCAACCAUUGCUUUAAAUAUAAUGCUUUAUAAGAGCUACACAUUUUAUAGUUGUUUAUGUGUCGGACAAAUAAUGGUUUUGUAGAGCAAAAUAGAUUAUACAACGUUGGACA